GGCGCCAAGAAGACCAAUGACAUCACCUCCAUUGCAAGCAAUGGUGGAAGAGUGCAAUGCAUGAAGGUAAGACUACUUAUCAACAUGUUGCUACAAUUAAUUUACAUUCAAAACAAUAUACCCAAAUGCAUGUUGAAGUAACUACUUCACGAGGAACCGAAAUACAUAACUUGUGAAUAUACAAAUGAAUUGUCUGAAUUACAGUCUGAUAACUUAACAUGUCGUAAAAAAAUACAAUUUUUUUCAUAAUCGUAGCAUAUUUACAUACCCACUAUUAACUAUAAUUAAAGAAAAUGUAGUUUAUUUCCAAGCUUACCAAUCCUUUCGUGUGCUUCCUGGCCGCUAAUUAGUAAUAGUUCCUCUAUUUUUUUGGCCAAGAAGGUACUAAUCGAAGUACUAGAACAUCGAUUUAUCGAAUAUUUUGAUUGAUACAGGUGUGGCCUACAGUUGGACUGAAGAAGUUCGAGACUCUCUCCUACCUUCCACCACUCUCUCCUGAGUCUUUGGCCAAGGAAGUAGACUACCUUCUCCGCAAGAACUGGGUUCCCUGCUUGGAAUUUGAGUUGGAGGUUAAUAAUUUCUUUUUAUAAACUUAUUUAUAUAUGUUAGCUUCAUGUAAUAUUUGUUUGCUGACUUAAUUUUCUUGAACAAAAUUGUGGUUUUAUAGAAGGGAUUUGUGUACCGUGAGAACCACAGGUCACCAGGGUACUAUGAUGGAAGGUACUGGACCAUGUGGAAGCUGCCCAUGUUUGGAUGCACAGACUCUUCCCAAGUGUUGAAAGAGCUCGAGGAGGCCAAGAAGGCUAACCCCAACUCUUUCAUCCGUAUCAUCG
RNAcentral lists this long non-coding RNA (833 nucleotides) under Prunus persica (peach). Its description in RNAcentral is "long non-coding RNA (PPER_LNC003694)". Lineage: Eukaryota; Viridiplantae; Streptophyta; Magnoliopsida; Rosales; Rosaceae. The record is from RNAcentral.